RNAcentral lists this ribosomal RNA (795 nucleotides) under Flavobacterium sp. B105. RNAcentral's name for it is "bacterial SSU rRNA". It matches the Rfam family "Bacterial small subunit ribosomal RNA", at positions 83 to 881 of the family's 1533-position model. Lineage: Bacteria; Pseudomonadati; Bacteroidota; Flavobacteriia; Flavobacteriales; Flavobacteriaceae. The record is from RNAcentral.
CGGAUGUAGAGACCGGCGCACGGGUGCGUAACGCGUAUGCAAUCUACCUUUUACAGAGGGAUAGCCCAGAGAAAUUUGGAUUAAUACCUCAUAGUAUAGCAGUUUCGCAUGAAACCACUAUUAAAGUCACAACGGUAAAAGAUGAGCAUGCGUCCCAUUAGCUAGUUGGUAAGGUAACGGCUUACCAAGGCUACGAUGGGUAGGGGUCCUGAGAGGGAGAUCCCCCACACUGGUACUGAGACACGGACCAGACUCCUACGGGAGGCAGCAGUGAGGAAUAUUGGACAAUGGGCGCAAGCCUGAUCCAGCCAUGCCGCGUGCAGGAUGACGGUCCUAUGGAUUGUAAACUGCUUUUAUACGAGAAGAAACAUCCCGACGUGUCGGGACUUGACGGUAUCGUAAGAAUAAGGAUCGGCUAACUCCGUGCCAGCAGCCGCGGUAAUACGGAGGAUCCAAGCGUUAUCCGGAAUCAUUGGGUUUAAAGGGUCCGUAGGCGGUUUAAUAAGUCAGUGGUGAAAGCCCAUCGCUCAACGGUGGAACGGCCAUUGAUACUGUUAGACUUGAAUUAUUAGGAAGUAACUAGAAUAUGUAGUGUAGCGGUGAAAUGCUUAGAGAUUACAUGGAAUACCAAUUGCGAAGGCAGGUUACUACUAAUUGAUUGACGCUGAUGGACGAAAGCGUGGGUAGCGAACAGGAUUAGAUACCCUGGUAGUCCACGCCGUAAACGAUGGAUACUAGCUGUUGGAAGCAAUUUCAGUGGCUAAGCGAAAGUGAUAAGUAUCCCACCUGGGGGAG